Molecule: long non-coding RNA, 295 nt
Organism: Anguilla anguilla (European eel)
Lineage: Eukaryota; Metazoa; Chordata; Actinopteri; Anguilliformes; Anguillidae
Exons: 2
Source: RefSeq, a predicted model, not a curated record
GGCCUGAUGGCAAGGCUUUGGCUAUACUCUAGAUGAAACAUUACUUUGAUCAGUAGCUGAGGGGGUCUUGUGGGUUACGAAACCUUAAAAACAGACUACAGAAGUAUACUGGAACAUCCGUGACAGGGUGCAGCACUUUCACUCCAGUCUCUGAACUAUUCAAAGGGUCUUUUACUGCUCUCUUGUGGAUGUGUAGCUCAUAUAACAUUAUUUAUUUAUUUAGCAGAUACUGAAUGAAUAUGGCAGUAAACUGGUAGACCCUAACAAGGAUAAAUAAAAGGGAGAUUACUUGUAA